GGGGAAUAUUGCACAAUGGGCGCAAGCCUGAUGCAGCGACGCCGCGUGCGGGAUGACGGCCUUCGGGUUGUAAACCGCUUUCAGCAGGGAAGAAGCGCAAGUGACGGUACCUGCAGAAGAAGCGCCGGCUAACUACGUGCCAGCAGCCGCGGUAAUACGUAGGGCGCAAGCGUUGUCCGGAAUUAUUGGGCGUAAAGAGCUCGUAGGCGGUCUGUCGCGUCUGCUGUGAAAACCUCAGGCUCAACCUGGGGCUUGCAGUGGGUACGGGCAGACUAGAGUGCGGUAGGGGUGACUGGAAUUCCUGGUGUAGCGGUGGAAUGCGCAGAUAUCAGGAGGAACACCGAUGGCGAAGGCAGGUCACUGGGCCGCAACUGACGCUGAGGAGCGAAAGCAUGGGGAGCGAAC
RNAcentral lists this ribosomal RNA (405 nucleotides) under uncultured bacterium. Its description in RNAcentral is "bacterial SSU rRNA". It matches the Rfam family "Bacterial small subunit ribosomal RNA", at positions 356 to 773 of the family's 1533-position model. The record is from RNAcentral.